RNAcentral lists this ribosomal RNA (847 nucleotides) under Enterococcus faecalis. RNAcentral describes it as "partial 23S ribosomal RNA". It matches the Rfam family "Bacterial large subunit ribosomal RNA", at positions 1 to 806 of the family's 2925-position model. The record is from RNAcentral. Lineage: Bacteria; Bacillati; Bacillota; Bacilli; Lactobacillales; Enterococcaceae.
UGACAAGCUACUAAGUGCGAUCGGUGGAUGCCUUGGCACCAAGAGCCGAUGAAGGACGUUGUAACCUGCGAUAAGCCUUGGGGAGUUGGUAAACGAGCUGUGAUCCGGGGAUGUCCGAAUGGGGAAACCUUGAAUGUCCGGAGUCAUGUCCGGUGACCCUGCCCUGAAUGUAUAGGGGUGUGGGAGGUAACGCGGGGAAGUGAAACAUCUCAGUACCCGUAGGAAGAGAAAACAAUUGUGAUUCCGUGAGUAGUGGCGAGCGAAAGCGGAUGUGGCCAAACCGUGUGUGUGUUCAAGCCGGCAGGCGUUGCAUGUGCGGGGUUGUGGGGGCCUGUGUGAUCCUGCUGCCGUGGGAUCGGCUUGCAUGUGGUGUGAAGUUGAAUCGUCUGGGAAGGCGGACCGUAGUGGGUGAGAGUCCCGUAGACGUGAGUGUCAUGUGUGGUUUCAGGUUGCCCCAAGUAGCGCGGUACUCGUGGAAUGUCGCGUGAAUCUGGCGGGACCACCCGUUAAGCCUAAAUACUUCUUGGUGACCGAUAGUGUAUCAGUACCGUGAGGGAAUGGUGAAAAGUACCCCGGGAGGGGAGUGAAAUAGUACCUGAAACCGGUCGCAUACAAGCCGUCGGAGCCUUUUUGGGGUGACGGCGUGCCUAUUGAAAAAUGAGCCUGCGAGUUAGUGGUAUGUGGCGAGGUUAACCUGUGUGGGGUAGUCGUAGCGAAAGCGAGUCCGAUAAGGGCGUCAGUCGCAUGCUCUAGACCCGAAGCGGUGUGAUCUAUCCAUGGCCAGGAUGAAGCGUCGGUAAGACGUCGUGGAGGUCCGAACCCACUUCAGUUGAAAAUGGAGGGGAUG